This is a non-coding RNA of Desarmillaria tabescens, 145 nucleotides long. The record is from the annotation of a RefSeq genome assembly. Lineage: Eukaryota; Fungi; Basidiomycota; Agaricomycetes; Agaricales; Physalacriaceae.
GGCAAGAUGGCCGAGUGGUUAAGGCGCCAGACUAAGGAAUGUCGAUUUCUCCUAACAGGAAAGUCGGGAGUCGGGACCAGGACAGCUUCUGUUCAAUCUAAAUAUCUGGUCCGAAAGGGCGUGGGUUUGAGUCCCACUCUUGUCA